This 1278-nucleotide long non-coding RNA is filed under the name Mus musculus (house mouse). RNAcentral describes it as "long non-coding RNA chr10:58399025-58400303". Lineage: Eukaryota; Metazoa; Chordata; Mammalia; Rodentia; Muridae. The record is from RNAcentral.
UGGCCAAUGCCUUGGCCAGUGCCACGUGUGAGCGCUGCAAGGGAGGCUUUGCGCCUGCUGAGAAGAUCGUGAACAGUAAUGGUGAGCUGUACCACGAACAGUGCUUCGUAUGUGCUCAGUGCUUCCAGCAGUUCCCAGAAGGACUCUUUUAUGAGGUGGGUCAACUCAGCUGUCCUUCACUUUCAGAUUCCUUACCAGAGAUUGAGUAAGUGCCAGGUAUUUAGUACCUGGGAGGUCAGUGGUGGAAUGCAUGUGGAACCUGUGGGUCCCAACCUAAAUAGGAUACCCAGGCAUAACUACCUACAUUCAUGCCCGUCAGUACAUCUCAGUUCAGAAGCUACAGUGUCUUGUAACUGCCCAUCAGACCUGAGUACUUCUUCUCCAAGUACAGAAUCCUUUCUCUAGCCUGCAGCAGAAGCAUCUCUGCCCCCAAAUGCGCGCUCCUACAUCGAAUCUGCCCAGCCUCACCCCUGGGCCUUACUUUAUCAGGAUGUCACUGCACAUCUUCCUAAAGGGGAACCCAUGUCACCAACUUCCUGAUUUCCAGGCCAUAUUCUGCAGAUUUCCAUGCAUGUAUUUCGUAAAGAGGAUCUUGUUAGGACUUGAGCACUACAGGAACCACUCUGUUUAGCCCUUCUAUGUGUCUUAAGCUAUUUUCUGAACACUUGUUUUUCUUGAUGUCAUCGUGUGAUCUGUACUUCAAUUGUAUUGAAACUUUCUUAUCACAGGAAAUGUAUUAUGGAGGUGGCUAGGAAAGCUCAUUCCCACAUCAUGAGUGAACAUGAGAGUAAUCACUUUGGCAAUUCAUUUUUGUUAGCAUCCCACUUAACAUAUUUGCAAAUGUGUGCAUUUUUAUAUGAUACAUGUGCAUAGAAUUCUGAUAAAGCUAAGAAUGUCUGUUCUUUGAUUUCUUUUUUAAUUAUUAUUUUAUGUAUAUGGGUGUUUUCCAUGCAUAUAUAUCUGUGUGUCAUAUGCAUGCCUAGUGCCCUUAAAGGCCAAAAGAGAUGAUCCAUUGGAACUGGAUUUAAAGCGGGUUGUGAGCUGCCAUAUUGAACUAAGGUCCUCUAUUCUUAAUGGCCAAACCAUCUCUCCCCUUUGAGGUAUUUUUCCUUUUCUCCUACCAGACUUCGAUUUUUCUGUCUCUAUGCCUGAAAAAGGAAAGGUAGUUUAUAGCAGUCAUUACUAAACUAUUAGUACCACUGAGGCCUUUCCCUGCUCUGGGCAGAUUGAAAUUCCCACGCCAGCCUGGAAAACACCAUUUGUUCCCCCAUAGAUGUU